UACGAAGGGGGCGAGCGUUAUUCGGAAUCACUGGGCGUAAAGGGCGCGUAGGCGGCCUGAUAAGUCGGGGGUGAAAGCCUGUGGCUCAACCACAGAAUUGCCUUCGAUACUGUUAGGCUUGAGACCGGAAGAGGUAAGUGGAACUGCGAGUGUAGAGGUGAAAUUCGUAGAUAUUCGCAAGAACACCAGUGGCGAAGGCGGCUUACUGGUCCGGAUCUGACGCUGAGGCGCGAAAGCGUGGGGAGCAAACAGG
Molecule: ribosomal RNA, 253 nt
Filed under: uncultured bacterium
Lineage: Bacteria
Description: partial 16S ribosomal RNA
Rfam family: Bacterial small subunit ribosomal RNA
Source: RNAcentral